UACAGAGGGUGCAAGCGUUAAUCGGAUUUACUGGGCGUAAAGCGCGCGUAGGUGGCCAAUUAAGUCAAAUGUGAAAUCCCCGAGCUUAACUUGGGAAUUGCAUUCGAUACUGGUUGGCUAGAGUAUGGGAGAGGAUGGUAGAAUUCCAGGUGUAGCGGUGAAAUGCGUAGAGAUCUGGAGGAAUACCGAUGGCGAAGGCAGCCAUCUGGCCUAAUACUGACACUGAGGUGCGAGAGCGUGGGGAGCAAACAGG
Molecule: ribosomal RNA, 253 nt
Filed under: uncultured microorganism
Description: partial 16S ribosomal RNA
Rfam family: Bacterial small subunit ribosomal RNA
Source: RNAcentral